GAGAGAGUAGAGAAGUGUGGGAGG
Molecule: microRNA, 24 nt
Filed under: Prunus persica (peach)
Lineage: Eukaryota; Viridiplantae; Streptophyta; Magnoliopsida; Rosales; Rosaceae
Description: microRNA miRNA_83
Source: RNAcentral